CGCCCGGCUGGCCCUGCCGCUGGCGGACUACAACUCCCAGGCGGGCGAGCGGCGGCGGUGGCAGUGGGUCGAGCUGAGGGGAGCGGAGCGGAGCCGAGCCGGGAUGAACGCGGUGCUGGCUGUCAAGCAGUACGUGUCCAAGAUGAUCGAGGACAGCGGGCCGGGCAUGAAGGUGCUCCUCAUGGACCGGGAGACGACCGGUAUCGUGAGCAUGGUGUACACGCAGUCCGAGAUCCUGCAGAAGGAGGUGUACCUCUUCGAGCGUCUCGAUUCCGCCAACAGGGAGGCCAUGAAGCACCUGAAGGCCAUCUGCUUCCUUCGGCCCACCAAGGAGAACGUGGAGUUCCUCAUCCAGGAGCUGCGGAGGCCGAAGUACAGCAUCUAUUUCAUUUAUUUCAGUAACGUGAUCAGUAAGAGUGAUGUCAAAUCAUUAGCUGAGGCUGAUGAACAGGAAGUUGUGGCUGAAGUUCAGGAGUUCUAUGGUGAUUACAUUGCAGUGAAUCCACACGUUUUUUCUCUCAACCUCUUGGGCUGCUGCCAGGGUCGCAGCUGGGAUCCAGCUCAGCUGUCCCGGACAACUCAAGGGCUGACUGCUCUGCUUUUGUCUCUGAAGAAAUGCCCCAUGAUUCGGUACCAGCUCUCCUCUGAGUCAGCAAAGAGGCUUGCUGAAUGUGUGAAGCAAGUAAUCACUAAAGAGUAUGAGCUGUUUGACUUUCGGCGCACUGAGGUUCCUCCUUUACUUCUUAUUCUGGACCGGUCUGACGAUGCCAUCACCCCACUUCUGAACCAGUGGACGUACCAGGCUAUGGUUCACGAAUUGCUGGGGAUUAACAACAACCGCAUUGACCUCUCUCGGGUACCGGGGAUAAGCAAGGAUCUCCGAGAGGUGGUCUUGUCUGCUGAGAACGACGAGUUCUAUGCCAACAACAUGUACCUGAACUUUGCAGAGAUUGGCAGUAACAUCAAGAAUCUUAUGGAGGAUUUCCAGAGGAGGAAACCUAAGGAGCAGCAGAAGCUGGAAUCCAUAGCAGAUAUGAAGGCAUUUGUGGAGAAUUACCCGCAGUUCAAGAAGAUGUCAGGCACGGUAUCGAAGCACGUGACAGUAGUGGGAGAGCUCUCUCGACUGGUUGGUGAGCGGAACCUGCUGGAGGUGUCUGAAGUAGAGCAGGAACUGGCCUGCCAGAAUGACCAUUCCAGUGCUCUCCAGAAUGUGCGACGCCUCCUGCAGAACCCCAAGGUGACAGAGUUUGACGCUGCCCGGCUGGUGAUGCUUUAUGCCCUGCACUACGAGCGGCACAGCAGCAAUAGCCUGCCAGGGUUGAUCACAGACCUCAAGAACAGGGGUGUGUCAGAGAAAUACCGAAAGCUAGUGUCUGCUGUUGUGGAGUAUGGAGGGAAACGGGUCCGGGGCAGUGACCUGUUCAGUCCCAAGGAUGCUGUAGCCAUCACCAAACAAUUCCUCAAAGGACUGAAGGGUGUUGAGAAUGUGUAUACGCAACACCAGCCUCUUCUUCACGAAACACUAGAUCAGCUCAUCAAAGGAAAACUCAAGGACAGCCAGUACCCCUACCUGGGUCCCAACACUCUCCGUGACAGGCCCCAAGAUAUUAUUGUGUUCAUCAUUGGAGGGGCAACUUACGAAGAGGCGCUGACUGUCUAUAACCUUAACCGCACCAACCCGGGGGUCCGGAUCGUCCUAGGUGGGACCACCAUCCACAACACAAAAAGCAUUAAUGUUCAGAUAACUUGAUCAGCAUAUUGAAGGAAUGAGUCAACCUAGAAACUGGUAGCACUGUAUCGCAUUGCCAGAGUAACCAUCUUCCUGGUAACACAUCCUCAUUAGAUCGUACGUGGGAGCGUUGCUGUGGUUUUGCACAGUAUUCAGCUGCCUCCCAAACUGCACAGACCAGCAGGUGUAGGUAACUGUGAUGAAGUAAUGCCAGUGGGCCAGAGCUUUGUUUUGUGGGCAGUCCUCACAGCUCCUUUGGCUUCAGAGACUUCUCAUAGAGAUGUCUAGGGAUGUCAUGUGAAGGUUUCACUCACACCUGUCUUGCUCUGGUGUUGGUAUUAUAGCAGCGCUCAGAGACCCGGCUGCUCAGGAGCUGUAUCAGCACACAGGAGAAGACAGUCUGGUCGGUGUAUACUCCAGACAAGGCCAGUCACAUGAAAGAUGGAGGUGGGGAGCAGCAGCAAAGGGCAGGAGUGAGCUGUGGCUUGCUGGUAAAACUGGGACUAGCUCCAAGCUUCAGUCUUAGUCUAGCGCUUACCUCUGUAGGCCAUGCUCCCAUUUGGCUUUUGCAGGCAGGAGUGCCGUAUGAAAGCAUAGAAGCCUAUGAUCAAACAAAAACAAUGCAAAGAGCAUUAUUCUUUCAAAGGUUGGGGGUUUUUUUCCUCUUGAAAGGAUUGAAUCGGUCUCAAACCUUAACCCACUUUUAGACCUAUUUAAACGACUGUGUUUCCAAGGUUUAGUCUCCCUUGCUCUGGUGUGUUUUGCUGGAUUAGGCUCUGCUGUGCUUUGUGAAGCAGGGCUGAGACUGCCGGAGUGCAGGUGUGAUGCAGCUGACCUUGGUGCAGCUCCAACAAAUACCAGUCUGUAUGUACACCUACUUCUCAGCUUGCUGCGCAUACCCGUCCACCCAGAUAAGAAAUGAAUCCGCGCUCAUGACAAGUGUAAGCCUGGAAACUGAAACGCCGUGGCAUGUUUCAGGGAUAAAAUUGGCCUUUGAAGACUGCCGGGUGACAGAAUGAGUGAAAUUCAUUUUGCAGACUCAUCAAGCUUCCUUGAGGAAGUUACAGCUUCAGGGUUCCGCGGCCGAACUACCGAGAGCUCUCAAGUUACACCAAGGUCAAGCAGCAGACGGU
Molecule: RNA transcript, 2862 nt
Organism: Harpia harpyja (harpy eagle)
Lineage: Eukaryota; Metazoa; Chordata; Aves; Accipitriformes; Accipitridae
Gene: VPS45
Gene name: vacuolar protein sorting 45 homolog
Exons: 16
Source: RefSeq, a predicted model, not a curated record